RNAcentral lists this ribosomal RNA (372 nucleotides) under uncultured organism. RNAcentral describes it as "bacterial SSU rRNA". It matches the Rfam family "Bacterial small subunit ribosomal RNA", at positions 526 to 896 of the family's 1533-position model. The record is from RNAcentral.
CGUAGGGUCCGAGCGUUGUCCGGAAUUAUUGGGCGUAAAGGGCUCGUAGGCGGUCCGUCACGUCGGGAGUGAAAACUCAAGGCUCAACCUUGAGCGUGCUUCCGAUACGGGCGGACUAGAGGUAUGCAGGGGAGAACGGAAUUCCUGGUGUAGCGGUGGAAUGCGCAGAUAUCAGGAGGAACACCGGUGGCGAAGGCGGUUCUCUGGGCAUUACCUGACGCUGAGGAGCGAAAGCAUGGGGAGCGAACAGGAUUAGAUACCCUGGUAGUCCAUGCCGUAAACGUUGGGCGCUAGGUGUGGGGACCUUCCACGGUUUCCGUGCCGCAGCUAACGCAUUAAGCGCCCCGCCUGGGGAGUACGGCCGCAAGGCUA